AAGAAAAAAACAGAAGAAAAACUAGUAUCUCAAUUGUUUUUAAAACAAUUGAAAGGUCUUUCCUGUAAAAGUGAUGUUUUCGUAAUGUACUUUGUACGACCUUUCGUUUGAUAUACGACAAGCAUACCUUCUGAAACUUUUCACUUUUAACACUUAAUGACCUCAUCCGCCUACAUUUUUGAGAUCGGAAGUAUGAUAUAUGUAACAUAUAGUAGAUGAGCUUUCAUUUGAUAUGCGACAACGCCAUGUUCUAGAAAGUUUGAUUUUUGCACUUAAUAACCCUAUCCAACUAAUUUUUGGAGGUCGGGAAUUUGAUAUUUCAAAUGUACACAUCAUGACCUUUCAUUUGAUAUACAACAACCCUAUCUUAAAAGAAAAUUUAUUUUUUGCACUCAAUAACCCCAUCCAACCC
This 412-nucleotide long non-coding RNA is filed under the name Mytilus galloprovincialis (Mediterranean mussel). The record is from RNAcentral. Lineage: Eukaryota; Metazoa; Mollusca; Bivalvia; Mytilida; Mytilidae.